RNAcentral lists this long non-coding RNA (702 nucleotides) under Olea europaea subsp. europaea. Lineage: Eukaryota; Viridiplantae; Streptophyta; Magnoliopsida; Lamiales; Oleaceae. The record is from RNAcentral.
GAGCAAGUAAUUCCUAAAUUUUAGCACAAGCAAUGGUUACCCGACAUGUUAACCCCAAUUCUAAUAUCACCUCACAUGACUCGUUAAUGUUGGAAUUUAAAUGUGAUAAGCCAAUUUAUCAGAGUGGACCACGUUGGGGGUCUAUAAUUUUGGAGUGAUGUAAAUUUGCUGCUUUAGGGCCAUUGCUAUUCGUUCUAAAAUUUUAGCGAAUGUAGCAACAAGUCAACCGAUAAUUGCAAGCCGAGUGUCUAGGAGCAAAAUUUUUCUAACUCGCCGUAUAAACUAAACAGAAAAUUAACACUACUAAAACUUUCAGAAUGAUAACGUGGAUAAUCAGUUUGAAGAAAACUCCUCUAGAAACGUCAUCAUCGAAAAGUACAUGCAUUGCCACCUUCACGCGCCACACAAGGAUGUUCGCCUUAGUUUGUAGAGUUCGGAGCUAGCCUCCAUUUGUCCAGUCACCUCUGAUGUUGUGGAAGAUGGCCACACUAAGAUGUUUUUCAGACUCAGUCUCUUGAUCAAACUAAAUCAACAACUCAAAUCAUGACCCACAAUCCAAUACUAUAGAUUCACUUCGAUUGCUUUGAUUGUACCCAUGAAGGACACAAGAAGAGGAGCCGCUAAGGCAAAUAAAACAUGGAGAAGAUGGUUGGAAUACAAGCAAGAGAUAAGAGAGUUGUUUUCACUAAGAAGAAAGUCACA